UACGAAGGGGGCUAGCGUUGCUCGGAAUCACUGGGCGUAAAGCGCACGUAGGCGGAUUGUUAAGUCAGGGGUGAAAUCCCGGAGCUCAACUCCAGAACUGCCUUUGAUACUGGCGAUCUUGAGUCCGGGAGAGGUGAGUGGAACUGCGAGUGUAGAGGUGAAAUUCGUAGAUAUUCGCAAGAACACCAGUGGCGAAGGCGGCUCACUGGCCCGGUACUGACGCUGAGGUGCGAAAGCGUGGGGAGCAAACAGG
This 253-nucleotide ribosomal RNA is filed under the name uncultured bacterium. RNAcentral's name for it is "partial 16S ribosomal RNA". It matches the Rfam family "Bacterial small subunit ribosomal RNA", at positions 524 to 776 of the family's 1533-position model. The record is from RNAcentral.